UAGAGUUUUCUAAACUCCCAACCCAUGUGAACUUACCAUUGUUGCCUCGGCAGAAGCUGCUCGGUGCACCUUACCCUGGAACGGCCUACCCUGUAGCGCCUUACCCUGGAACGGCUUACCCUGUAGCGGCUGCCGGUGGACUACCAAACUCUUGUUAUUUUAUUGUAAUCUGAGCGUCUUAUUUUAAUAAGUCA
RNAcentral lists this unclassified non-coding RNA (194 nucleotides) under uncultured fungus. RNAcentral's name for it is "sequence contains ITS1, 5.8S rRNA gene". Lineage: Eukaryota; Fungi. The record is from RNAcentral.